AAAGCCACAUGCUUUUAUUGGAGUGGGGACCCUUGCAGCUUUGGUAGAAGAGGACCACGGGGCUUUGGGGUGCCCCCUUUGGCCACGUGGCCUG
Phyllostomus discolor (pale spear-nosed bat) is the source of this 94-nucleotide long non-coding RNA. RefSeq lists it as uncharacterized. The transcript has 3 exons. NCBI's taxonomy places the organism in Eukaryota, Metazoa, Chordata, Mammalia, Chiroptera, Phyllostomidae. The record is from RefSeq and is a predicted model, not a curated record.